UACGGAGGAUGCAAGCGUUAUCCGGAUUUAUUAGGUUUAAAGGGUGCGUAGGUUGUUAAAUAAGUCAGUGGUGAAAUAUUUUAGCUUAACUAGAAUACUGCCAUUGAUACUGUUAAACUAGAGUUUGCACGAGGUAUGCGGAAUGCGUAAUGUAGCGGUGAAAUGCAUAGAUAUUACUCAGAACUCCGAUUGCGAAGGCAGCAUACUAGAGCAAAACUGACACUGAUGCACGAAAGCGUGGGUAGCGAACAGG
This 253-nucleotide ribosomal RNA is filed under the name uncultured bacterium. RNAcentral's name for it is "partial 16S ribosomal RNA". It matches the Rfam family "Bacterial small subunit ribosomal RNA", at positions 524 to 776 of the family's 1533-position model. The record is from RNAcentral.